Molecule: microRNA, 21 nt
Filed under: Homo sapiens (human)
Lineage: Eukaryota; Metazoa; Chordata; Mammalia; Primates; Hominidae
Description: hsa-miR-6731-3p
Source: miRBase by way of RNAcentral
UCUAUUCCCCACUCUCCCCAG